UCAAGCGAACAAGGGCGCAGGGCGAAUGCCUUGGCACUGGGAGCCGAUGAAAGACGUGAUAAGCUGCGAUAAGCUUCGGGGAGCUGCAAAUAAGCAUUGAUCCGGAGAUUUCUGAAUGAGGAAACUCACCUGGGUUCAUACUCAGGUACAAUGCACUGAAAUUUAAAAUAGGUGUAUUGAGGGAACCGCCUGAACUGAAACAUCUAAGUAGGGCGAGGAAGAGACAUCAAACGAGAUUCCGUAAGUAGUGGCGAGCGAACGCGGAAGAGGGCAAACCGAGAGUAGAAAUACUUUCGGGGUACGGACUGCUUUUAAGACUCAAUCUGUUAACCGAACGGCAUGGGAAGGCCGGUCAGAGAGUGUGAGAACCACGUAGGUGAAAACGGAGAGAGCUGCGCAGGAUCCAGAGUACGGCCAGACACGUGAAACCUGGUCGGAAUACGGGGGGACCACCCUCCAACCCUAAAUACUACCCAGUGACCGAUAGCGUAUAGUACUGUGAAGGAAAGGUGAAAAGCACCCCGGGAGGGGAGUGAAAAAGAACCUGAAACCCUGUGCCUACAAGCACCUAGAGCGCGUCAAAGCGUGAUAGGGUACUUUUUGUAGAACGGUCCGGCGAGCGAUUGUAUGCAGCAAGGUUAAGGACUUAAGGUCUGGAGCCGAAGCGAAAGCGAGUUUGAAAAGGGCGUUAAGUUGCAUAUAAUGGGCCCGAAACCGGGUGACCUACCCAUGGUCAGGUUGAAGUGGAAGUAAAAUUCCAUGGAGGACCGAACCGACCUCCGUUGAAAAGGCGGCGGAUGAACUGUGGGUAGCGGAGAAAUUCCAAUCGAACCCGGAGAUAGCUGGUUCUCCCCGAAAUAGUUUUAGGACUAGCCUCAAGUUAGAUACCUGGAGGUAAAGCACUGAAUAGCCUAGCGGCCGAGAGGUUAGCGAAGCUUAUCAAACUCAGAAUGCCAGAGUAUUGAUGCUUGGGAGUCAGACAGUGUCAGAUAAAUGUCAUUGUCAAAAGGGAAACAGCCCAGAUCUACAGCUAAGGUCCCAAAGUCAGGUUAAGUGGAAAACGAUGUGAAGAUACGCAGACAACCAGGAUGUUGGCUCAGAAGCAGCCACUCAUUCAAAGAGUGCGUAAUAGCUCACUGGUCGAGCGUCUUUGCGCGGAGAAUUUAACGGGGCUAAACCUGACACCGAAGCUUAGGCAAUGCACGUAAGUGUAUUGGGUAGGGGAGCGUUGUAUACGCGGAGAAACAGUAGCGCAAGCGGCUGUGGAGUGUAUAGAAGUGAGAAUGCCGGAAUGAGUAGCGCGAAUGCAGUGAGAAUCUGCAUGGCCGAAAGCCUCAGGUUUCUGGAGGAAGGUUCGUCCGCUCCAGGUUAGUCGGGAGCUAAGGUGAGGCCGGAAGGCGUAGCCGAUGCACAGACGGUAGAGAUUCCGUCACCACCAAAAGAGUUAAGCACAGGGACACAUAUGAAGUCUCAGAGCCGGGUGUUGGUUCCGGUAGAGAUCGAGGGAAAUUAGUACCGAAGUCUGAGAUGGAAGAUGGCGAGAAAAGCUGUGUGUAUUUCUGAGGUGCCCGUACCGCAAACCGACACAGGUAGGUAGGAAGAAGAUUCUAAGGCCAACGGGAGAAGGGUUGUUAAGGAACUCGGCAAAUUGACCCCGUAACUUCGGGAGAAGGGGUGCUCCAGAGAUGGAGCCGCAGAGAAUCGGCCCAAGCAACUGUUUACCAAAAACACAGGUUUGUGCUAAAUCGAAAGAUGACGUAUACGAGCUGACGCCUGCCCGGUGCUGGAAGGUUAAGAGGAGAUGUGCAAGCAUUGAAUCGAAGCCCCAGUGAACGGCGGCCGUAACUAUAACGGUCCUAAGGUAGCGAAAUUCCUUGUCAGGUAAGUUCUGACCCGCA
Molecule: ribosomal RNA, 1898 nt
Filed under: human gut metagenome
Description: bacterial LSU rRNA
Rfam family: Bacterial large subunit ribosomal RNA
Source: RNAcentral